AGCGAACGCUGGCGGCAGGCUUAACACAUGCAAGUCGAACGGUCCUUCGGGAUAGUGGCGGACGGGUGAGUAACACGUGGGAACGUACCCUUAGGUUCGGAACAACACAGGGAAACUUGUGCUAAUACCGGAUAAGCCCUUCGGGGGAAAGAUUUAUCGCCUUUGGAGCGGCCCGCGUCUGAUUAGCUUGUUGGUGAGGUAAUGGCUCACCAAGGCUACGAUCAGUAGCUGGUCUGAGAGGAUGGCCAGCCACACUGGGACUGAGACACGGCCCAGACUCCUACGGGAGGCAGCAGUGGGGAAUCUUGCGCAAUGGGCGAAAGCCUGACGCAGCCAUGCCGCGUGGAUGAUGAAGGUCUUAGGAUUGUAAAAUCCUUUCACCGGGGACGAUAAUGACGGUACCCGGAGAAGAAGCCCCGGCUAACUUCGUGCCAGCCGCCGCAGAUA
Molecule: ribosomal RNA, 447 nt
Filed under: uncultured bacterium
Lineage: Bacteria
Description: partial 16S ribosomal RNA
Rfam family: Bacterial small subunit ribosomal RNA
Source: RNAcentral